RNAcentral lists this ribosomal RNA (439 nucleotides) under uncultured bacterium. Its description in RNAcentral is "partial 16S ribosomal RNA". It matches the Rfam family "Bacterial small subunit ribosomal RNA", at positions 338 to 795 of the family's 1533-position model. The record is from RNAcentral.
CCUACGGGUGGCAGCAGUGGGGAAUAUUGGGCAAUGGGCGCAAGCCUGACCCAGCAACGCCGCGUGGGUGAAGAAGCGCCUCGGCGCGUAAAGCCCUGUCAGCAGGGAAGAAAAUGACGGUACCUGACGAAGAAGCCCCGGCUAACUACGUGCCAGCAGCCGCGGUAAUACGUAGGGGGCAAGCGUUAUCCGGAUUUACUGGGUGUAACGGGGGCGCAGACGGCGAUGCAAGCCAGGAGUGAAAGCCCGGGGCCCAACCCCGGGACUGCUCUUGGAACUGCGUGGCUAGAGUGCAGGAGGGGCAGGCGGAAUUCCUGGUGUAGCGGUGAAAUGCGUAGAUAUCAGGAGGAACACCGGUGGCGAAGGCGGCCUGCUGGACUGCAACUGACGUUGAGGCCCGAAAGCGUGGGGAGCAAACAGGAUUAGAUACCCGGUAGUC